RNAcentral lists this ribosomal RNA (483 nucleotides) under uncultured bacterium. Its description in RNAcentral is "partial 16S ribosomal RNA". It matches the Rfam family "Bacterial small subunit ribosomal RNA", at positions 30 to 506 of the family's 1533-position model. The record is from RNAcentral.
AUUGAACGCUGGCGGCAGGCCUAACACAUGCAAGUCGAGCGGAUGAAGGGAGCUUGCUCCUGGAUUCAGCGGCGGACGGGUGAGUAAUGCCUAGGAAUCUGCCUGGUAGUGGGGGAUAACGUCCGGAAACGGGCGCUAAUACCGCAUACGUCCUGAGGGAGAAAGUGGGGGAUCUUCGGACCUCACGCUAUCAGAUGAGCCUAGGUCGUAUUAGCUAGUUGGUGGGGUAAAGGCCUACCAAGGCGACGAUCCGUAACUGGUCUGCAAGGAUGAUCAGUCAAACUGGAACUGAGACACGGUCCAGCCUCUUACGGGAGGAAGAAGUGGGGAAUAUUGGACAAUGGGCGAAAGCCUGAUCCAGCCAUGCGGCGUGUGUGAAGAAGGUCUUCGGAUUGUAAAGCACUUUAAGUUGGGAGGAAGGGCAGUAAGUUAAUACCUUGCUGUUUGGACGUUACCAACAGAAUAAGCACCGCCUAACUUCGU